Long non-coding RNA from Cheilinus undulatus (humphead wrasse), 156 nucleotides. RefSeq lists it as uncharacterized. The record is from RefSeq and is a predicted model, not a curated record. Lineage: Eukaryota; Metazoa; Chordata; Actinopteri; Labriformes; Labridae. The transcript has 3 exons.
CGAGGUGGAGGUGGUGUUCUGUGUGCCGUUCCAUUCCAGGGCCUGAGGAGACCAAGCUUGGACGUAGAGGUGGAGCAGAGCAUUGUUGGUAAAUAGAUUCUCAGCUAAAACAGCUCCAGCGCAUGGCUUCACAGCCGAAGAGUCCAGGUCCUGAAC